UUGCAAAGCACUUUGAAAAGAGGGUGAAAAGAACCUGAAACUGCUACGGUGAAAGCGGAUUGCAUAGAAUUUCAACUUGUGUGCCGUGUUCAGCUCUUCGGAGUGUACUCACGCACACUGACUCAUCGUGCGUUCUCGGUGGUCGAUUUUGGGCCGCUGGGGACGGAGGUAUCCCUUUUCGGAGGUGAAGGCGAUGGGGUGUCUGUGCGAUUCGACCCGUCUUGAAACACGGACCAAGGAGUGUAUCACAUCUGCGAGUCGUAGGGUUUAAAACCUGAGGGCGCAGUGAAAGCGAGUUUUUUAAAACGAGCAGUUUGAGGCGGCAUACGAUCGUUGAUUGUAGGUCCGACCUGGAGCAGAUGUGGUACGACCCGAAAGAUGGUGAACUAUACCGGAGUAGGGCGAAGCCAGAGGAAACUCUGGUGGAGGCUCGUAGCGGUGCUGACGUGCAAAUCGCUCGUCCGACUUGGGUAUAGGGGCGAAAGACUAAUCGAACCAUCUAGUAGCUGGUUCCCUCCGAAGUUUCUCUCAGGAUAGCGGCCCGACGCGAUGUUGUCAUGUGC
This 563-nucleotide ribosomal RNA is filed under the name Crouania mucosa. RNAcentral describes it as "eukaryotic LSU rRNA". It matches the Rfam family "Eukaryotic large subunit ribosomal RNA", at positions 364 to 1006 of the family's 3401-position model. The record is from RNAcentral. Lineage: Eukaryota; Rhodophyta; Florideophyceae; Ceramiales; Callithamniaceae.